ACGCUGGCGGCAGGCCUAACACAUGCAAGUCGAGCGGUAGAGAGAAGCUUGCUUCUCUUGAGAGCGGCGGACGGGUGAGUAAUGCCUAGGAAUCUGCCUGGUAGUGGGGGAUAACGUUCGGAAACGGACGCUAAUACCGCAUACGUCCUACGGGAGAAAGCAGGGGACCUUCGGGCCUUGCGCUAUCAGAUGAGCCUAGGUCGGAUUAGCUAGUUGGUGGGGUAAUGGCUCACCAAGGCGACGAUCCGUAACUGGUCUGAGAGGAUGAUCAGUCACACUGGAACUGAGACACGGUCCAGACUCCUACGGGAGGCAGCAGUGGGGAAUAUUGGACAAUGGGCGAAAGCCUGAUCCAGCCAUGCCGCGUGUGUGAAGAAGGUCUUCGGAUUGUAAAGCACUUUAAGUUGGGAGGAAGGGCAGUUGCCUAAUACGUAACUGUUUUGACGUUACCCGACAGAAUAAGCACCGGCUAACUCUGUGCCAGCAGCCGCGGUAAUACAGAGGGUGCAAGCGUUAAUCGGAAUUACUGGGCGUAAAGCGCGCGUAGGUGGUUUGUUAAGUUGGAUGUGAAAUCCCCGGGCUCAACCUGGGAACUGCAUUCAAAACUGACUGACUAGAGUAUGGUAGAGGGUGGUGGAAUUUCCUGUGUAGCGGUGAAAUGCGUAGAUAUAGGAAGGAACACCAGUGGCGAAGGCGACCACCUGGACUGAUACUGACACUGAGGUGCGAAAGCGUGGGGAGCAAAC
RNAcentral lists this ribosomal RNA (746 nucleotides) under uncultured bacterium. RNAcentral describes it as "bacterial SSU rRNA". It matches the Rfam family "Bacterial small subunit ribosomal RNA", at positions 33 to 773 of the family's 1533-position model. The record is from RNAcentral.